UACGAAGGGGGCUAGCGUUGUUCGGAAUUACUGGGCGUAAAGCGCACGUAGGCGGAUUGUUAAGUCAGGGGUGAAAUCCUGGAGCUCAACUCCAGAACUGCCUUUGAUACUGGCGAUCUUGAGUCCGGGAGAGGUGAGUGGAACUGCGAGUGUAGAGGUGAAAUUCGUAGAUAUCGGGAGGAACACCGGUGGCGAAGGCGGCGACCUGGGUAGAUACUGACGCUGAGGCGCGAAAGCGUGGGGAGCAAACAGG
RNAcentral lists this ribosomal RNA (253 nucleotides) under uncultured bacterium. RNAcentral's name for it is "partial 16S ribosomal RNA". It matches the Rfam family "Bacterial small subunit ribosomal RNA", at positions 524 to 776 of the family's 1533-position model. The record is from RNAcentral.